UAAGAGGUCCUGCCUGCCCAGUGACUAUAUGUUUAACGGCCGCGGUACUUUGACCGUGCGAAGGUAGCGCAAUCACUUGUCUUUUAAAUGAAGACCUGUAUGAAUGGCACGACGAGGGCUUAACUGUCUCCUUUUUCCAGUCAAUGAAAUUGAUCUUCCCGUGCAGAAGCGGGAAUAAUAUCAUAAGACGAGAAGACCCUGUGGAGCUUUAGACACUAAAUCAGCCCUUGUCCAAAAUCCCAAUUAAAGGAAUGAACUCUAGAGUGAGACCUGAUCUAAUGUCUUCGGUUGGGGCGACCUUGGGGAAAGAAAAAUCCCCCAUGCGGAACGGAAAUACUAUGUUUCCAAAACUAAGAGACACCACUCAAAGUAUCAAAAAUUUUGACCAACUAUAUGAUCCGGCUUAACGCCGAUCAACGGACCGAGUUACCCCAGGGAUAACAGCGCAAUCCUCUUUUAGAGCCCAUAUCGACAAGAGGGUUUACGACCUCGAUGUUGGAUCAGGACAUCCUAAUGGUGCAGCCGCUAUUAAGGGUUCGUUUGUUCAACGAUUAAAGUCC
Molecule: ribosomal RNA, 560 nt
Filed under: Amphiprion nigripes (Maldive anemonefish)
Lineage: Eukaryota; Metazoa; Chordata; Actinopteri; Pomacentridae
Description: partial large subunit ribosomal RNA
Rfam family: Bacterial large subunit ribosomal RNA
Source: RNAcentral